GGGGAUGUGGCUCAGUGGUAGAGCUCUUGCCUUAGAUGCACAAGUACCUGGGUUCAAUCCCCAGCAUCACCU
RNAcentral lists this transfer RNA (72 nucleotides) under Cavia porcellus (domestic guinea pig). It matches the Rfam family "tRNA". Rfam says of the family: Transfer RNA (tRNA) molecules are approximately 80 nucleotides in length. Their secondary structure includes four short double-helical elements and three loops (D, anti-codon, and T loops). The record is from Rfam by way of RNAcentral. Lineage: Eukaryota; Metazoa; Chordata; Mammalia; Rodentia; Caviidae.